GACGAACCGAGCGAACGUUGUUCGGAAUUACUGGGCGUAAAGCGCGCGUAGGCGGACCUGCAAGUCGGGGGUGAAAGCCCGAGGCUCAACCUCGGAACUGCCUUCGAUACUGCGGGUCUCGAGUCCGGGAGAGGUGAGUGGAAUUCCUAGUGUAGAGGUGAAAUUCGUAGAUAUUAGGAAGAACACCAGUGGCGAAGGCGGCUCACUGGCCCGGUACUGACGCUGAGGCGCGAAAGCGUGGGGAGCAAACAGG
RNAcentral lists this ribosomal RNA (253 nucleotides) under uncultured bacterium. Its description in RNAcentral is "partial 16S ribosomal RNA". It matches the Rfam family "Bacterial small subunit ribosomal RNA", at positions 524 to 776 of the family's 1533-position model. The record is from RNAcentral.